UGGUGGGCCAAUUGUGUCACUGUUUCUCUGUGUCAUGAUAGAUCUCAAUUGAGCGGCGGCGGCUGACCUAAGGGCCGGAAGCCCUCUUUCCAGGGAACGACGAGGCCGGGAGUGAGUCGCCAGUCCCAAGACCCCAAAGACCGGUGCUCCCCGCCCGAGGCUCCCCGUGCGCUGGGGGCCACCCUCCGGGAGCCACGAGGCAGGAAGCUAGCCAGCCGGAAGACUGGCGCUCCCCACCCGCGGCUGCCUGUGGGCCGGAAGCCCUCCUUCCGGGGAACAACGAGAGAAAGUGCUGAUAUUUUAGAAAGUCCUCUGCAGGUGUUAAUCAUGUGCGACGAUGUCAGGGGACAGCAUGCCCCCCAGGCGGCACCUCCAGUACACUCCAAAGUAAAAGUGUGUUUUUUCCUCUAA
RNAcentral lists this long non-coding RNA (411 nucleotides) under Chinchilla lanigera (long-tailed chinchilla). RNAcentral describes it as "lncRNA (ENSCLAG00000022530.1)". Lineage: Eukaryota; Metazoa; Chordata; Mammalia; Rodentia; Chinchillidae. The record is from RNAcentral.